RNAcentral lists this ribosomal RNA (619 nucleotides) under Suillus subluteus. Its description in RNAcentral is "eukaryotic LSU rRNA". It matches the Rfam family "Eukaryotic large subunit ribosomal RNA", at positions 64 to 655 of the family's 3401-position model. Lineage: Eukaryota; Fungi; Basidiomycota; Agaricomycetes; Boletales; Suillaceae. The record is from RNAcentral.
ACUAACAAGGAUUCCCCUAGUAACUGCGAGUGAACCGGGAAAAGCUCAAAUUUUGAAUCUGGCGGUCUUUACGGCCGUCCGAGUUGUAAUCUAGAGAAGCGUCUUCCGCGCUGGACCGUGUAUAAGUUUCCUGGAAUGGAACGUCGUAGAGGGUGACAAUCCCGUCUUUGACACGGACUCCCAGGGCUAUGUGAUGCGCUCUCGACGAGUCGAGUUGUUUGGGAAUGCAGCUCAAAUAGGGUGGUAAAUUCCAUCUAAAGCUAAAUACAGGCGAGAGACCGAUAGCGAACAAGUACCGUGAGGGAAAGAUGAAAAGAACUUUGGAAAGAGAGUUAAACAGUACGUGAAAUUGCUGAAAGGGAAACGCUUGAUGUCAGUCGCGUCGGCCGGGGAUCAGCCUUGCUUCAUCGCUCGGCGUACUUCCUGGUCGACGGGUCAGCAUCGGUUUCGACCGUCGGAAAAUGGCUCGAGGAAUGUGGCACUCUUCGGAGUGUGUUAUAGACUCGGGUCGAAUACGGCGGUUGGGACCGAGGAACUCAGUACGACCUUACGGUUCGGGGCUUCGGCUCACGUUAACGUGCUUAGGAUGCUGGCAUAAUGGCCUUAAGCGACCCGUCUU